This is a long non-coding RNA of Brassica oleracea var. oleracea, 190 nucleotides long. RefSeq lists it as uncharacterized. NCBI's taxonomy places the organism in Eukaryota, Viridiplantae, Streptophyta, Magnoliopsida, Brassicales, Brassicaceae. The transcript is spliced from 2 exons. The record is from RefSeq and is a predicted model, not a curated record.
GAGACAACAUUCCUCCCCAAAUCGUCAAGAGCUUGAUGUACCAACUCUGCAAAGGAAUCGCAUUCUGCCAUGGCCACGGUGUGCUGCACAGAGAUCUUAAGCCUCACAAUCUCUUGAUGGAUCCCAAGACGAUGAGGCUCAAGAUUGCAGAUCUUGGUUUAGCCAGAGCCUUCACUCUCCCUAUGAAGAA